RNAcentral lists this ribosomal RNA (460 nucleotides) under uncultured bacterium. RNAcentral describes it as "partial 16S ribosomal RNA". It matches the Rfam family "Bacterial small subunit ribosomal RNA", at positions 338 to 795 of the family's 1533-position model. The record is from RNAcentral.
CCUACGGGUGGCAGCAGUGAGGAAUAUUGGUCAAUGGGCGCGAGCCUGAACCAGCAAAGUAGCGUGAAGGAUGACUGCCCUACGGGUUGUAAACUUCUUUUAUAAAGGAAUAAAGUGAGGCACGUGUGCCUGUUUGAAUGUACUUUAUGAAUAAGGAUCGGCUAACUCCGUGCCAGCAGCCGCGGUAAUACGGAGGAUUCGAGCGUUAUCCGGAUUUAUUGGGUUUAAAGGGGGCGUAGAUGGGUUGUUAAGUCAGUUGUGAAAGUUUGCGGCUCAACCGUAAAAUUGCAUUUGAUACUGGCAGGCUUGAGUGCAGUUGAGGUAGGCGGAAUUCGUGGUGUAGCGGUGAAAUGCUUAGAUAUCACGAAGAACACCGAUUGCGAAGGCAGCUUACUAAACUGCCACUGACAUUGAUGCUCGAAAGUGUGGGUAUCAAACAGGAUUAGAUACCCUUGUAGUC